CACUCCUAGUGCUUGCUAUACUAAAAUUGAAAUGAAAUAUAGAAGAUUAGCAUGGCUCCUGCACAAAAAUAACAUGCAAAUUCAUGAAGCAGUCCUUAUUAAA
Molecule: small nuclear RNA, 103 nt
Filed under: Castor canadensis (American beaver)
Lineage: Eukaryota; Metazoa; Chordata; Mammalia; Rodentia; Castoridae
Source: RNAcentral